GGUUGUGGCUCAGUGGCAGAGUGCUUGCCUAGCAUGUGUGAGGCAUUGGGUUCAAUUCUCAGCAGCACA
RNAcentral lists this transfer RNA (69 nucleotides) under Marmota monax (woodchuck). RNAcentral's name for it is "tRNA.Ala". Lineage: Eukaryota; Metazoa; Chordata; Mammalia; Rodentia; Sciuridae. The record is from RNAcentral.